UUAUACUAACGCGUGUGCAUUGUUUAUUUAAUUAGACUAUAACCAGGGAAUCACAGAGGAAAGCCUUAUAAUAGCAAUGUGAGUGAUCCUUCUUUUUAUGAACUCAUUUUUGUAACUUAGCGUAAAGCCAAUAGAAGCCAGCUGGAGAGCACUGAAGGCUUGGAAAAGUGGCAAUAAAGUUACCUAAAAUAAAACAGAUGUUUUUAUUAAAUAAAAUAGGAUUUAUACCUAUGAAAAUGUAUGUACUGAAAAACUUGGGUUUUAUCCCAUGUGUUUAAUAUAACGAAAAUGUGGUGGUUUUACUCUG
RNAcentral lists this long non-coding RNA (307 nucleotides) under Helianthus annuus (common sunflower). RNAcentral's name for it is "sRNA HanXRQr2_Chr17g0825251". The record is from RNAcentral. Lineage: Eukaryota; Viridiplantae; Streptophyta; Magnoliopsida; Asterales; Asteraceae.